Molecule: transfer RNA, 85 nt
Filed under: Bradyrhizobium arachidis
Lineage: Bacteria; Pseudomonadati; Pseudomonadota; Alphaproteobacteria; Hyphomicrobiales; Nitrobacteraceae
Description: tRNA-Arg
Source: RNAcentral
GAGGCAAAGCAUCUUAUUGAUUGUAUUGGAUAAAUAGCUGACGCCUAAUCAGCGGGUCCCAGGUUCGAGCCCUGGUGCGUCACCA